Molecule: long non-coding RNA, 5679 nt
Filed under: Equus asinus (donkey)
Lineage: Eukaryota; Metazoa; Chordata; Mammalia; Perissodactyla; Equidae
Description: lncRNA (ENSEASG00005026929.1)
Source: RNAcentral
GGCGAAACAUGAGAAACAGGACAGAGAAGGUACAAUGGAGAAAACCAGAGCCCCACCUUGCUCGUGUGAAUGUGUGUGUGUGUCUGUGUAUAUAUGUACAUAAUAGAAUUCAGCAACACAUUAAAAGAAUAAUAAACCAUACCCAGGUGGAUUUAUUUCAAAAAUGUAAAAGUGAAACAAUUUAAGAAUAUUUACUGGAAUAAUUCACCACAUUCAUAGGUCAAGGGAGGAAAAACGUGAUCAUUUCAAUAGAUUCCUCAAAGUUAUUUGAAAAGUUAAAAAUCAAUUUAUGGACUUUACAAAACUUCUAAUACAAUAGGAAAGCGUGUGUUAUUCUUUAAGAAAAUUAAAUCUAUGUCUCUAACAAAAACGUCUGCACCGGGCGAAUGAAGAGUGAGAUCAACCCAUUACAAUAGCAGCCAUUGAAUCAGAGAACAGAAAGAAAAUAGUGAAAAUAGAAGACAGGAGGGAAUAAUUUAUUAUUACUGAUAACAUAUACCGUUAAUUUUAUACCUGGACAAAACAGGAAAAUCAAUUGAAAAGCAAUUAAAGAAAAAAUAGAACUUGGGGGCCGGCCCGGUGGUGCAGCGGUUAAGUGCGCAGUUUCCACUUCUCGGAGGCCCAGAGUUCGCGGUUUGGAUCUCGGGUGUGGACAUGGCACCGCUUGGCAAAAGCCGUGCUGUGGUAGGCGUCCCACAUAUAAAGUAGAGGAAGAUGGGCAUGGAUGUUAGCUCAGGGCCAGUCUUCCUCAGCAAAAAGAGGAGGAUUGGCAGAGUUAGCUCAGGGCUAAUCUUCCUCAAAAAAAAAAAAAAAAAAAGUAGAAUUCAACAAAGAAGCUGGUUAUGAAAUUAACAUGCAAAAAUCAAGUUUUUCAUACAAAUAGUAACCAGGAGAAAAUAUAAUGAGGGAAAAUAGAAUUUAUAUAUUAGCAAUGAAUUGGAGGGGAAAUACCUAAGAAUAAAGUUAAGAAUCCACAAUACUUACGUGAAUAAAAGCAUAAUACUCUAUUGAGAGAACUCAAAGACAUAUUUGGAUAAAUUGAAAGAUAAAAGUUGGAUAAGAAAUCUCAUUAGUGUAAACUUCUCAAGUCCCCUAAAUUAACAUAGAAAUUCAAUGAGAUUCCAGUCACUGAGAAGUUAAUUCUAAUUCACAUAGAAAUAUAGCUAUAUAUUACAUAUAAUAUAAUAAUAUAGAAACACGUGUCAGAAUAGCCAGGAAUUUUGGGGGGAAAACCAAGGAGGAACUAGUCCUACCAGAUGCCAAAAUGUACAAAAGUACAGUAAUAAAAUGAAGUUAGUGUUGGUGGAGAAAUAGGUCAUUGGAACAGAGUCUAGAAACAGGCCCAAAUACAUACGUCAUUUAAUAUGUGAGGGUCCACGUGCGGAUCCCUAGGCUACUGUCUCAGCUUCGGAGCCGUCCUGCGCUCGCUCGGCGACGCUGGGCUGGGACGCCGAGCGCGUCUCUCUCGGCCGGCCGGCUGCCCGCCGGUGGUGCCCGCGGGGGCGCUGGGGGAGAGCCGAGCGGGAGGAGAACGGGCGCCGGCUCCUCCGGGCUGCCUCCUGCGGCCGCCGCUGCUGCCCGCGAGCCCUCUGCCUCGGCGGCGAGUGGCCGCUGUUUCCCACGACAGCGAGUUCCAGCGACCUGCGUCUCUCCACGUUCUCAACCAGGCUCGCGUUCUGGGUCUGGGCUCCCUAAGGCCCUCGCCAAACACCGAGAGAAAUUCUAGAGGAAUCAAAGAUUAGCAUAUAAAAAAAUCUGACAGGUUGCAGAUGAGAGGAAGGGGUGAGGAGGAUUCCGAAAAAAUGGCAGUUUAUUGUGCAGAAGCCGUGGCGCUUCCCGACCCAGCCCCAGUCCCGCUGCUCUUCUCCUAAAACAAGCCGCCGCUGAGGCUCCACGGGCGCGGGCAGCGCCCCGGCUCAGUCACCGGCCCGACGAUGGAGCUGGGGUGGGAGUUCCUCCCUGUGCCGGAGGAGAUCCCGGCGACCAGCAUCAGAGUCCUGGGGCAGCAGAGCGGCCAGCGUGGUACCUACGGUCAGGUUGGGCAGUCCGCGGGCCGCAGGGCAGGGCGGGGGCCCCAGGUCACGGCCCGGAGGAGCCGGGGUCUCUCUGGCCUCCGGGUCGAGCUGACUCCUCUCUGUCCCUGAGCAGCGGACGCUCAGGCUUCACUAGCCUUGGCAGCACGGGGCCCGUUGGAGGACUCGUAGCUCGCGGGCGCUCACGCCGCAGUCCACAGGCCGACUGCGGGCCGGCCCUCCUCCCGGGACGGUGACGACGGGACGGUGACGACGGCCGGGAGAGCGCCAGCGGCAGGGAGCCAGCGCGAGAGCCAGAGAAAGAGUCUCCUAGAGUCCCCGAACCGCUGGAGGGACAGACACGUGCCGGGAGCGCUCCAGGGUUCAAGUCCAGCCCUGGAAAGUCUUCCCGAUGAGAUGCGGAUGAACGCUCGCGCCUGGUGACGUCAGCUAAGAGAGAACGGGGUGUUCACUGCCCAACGCGACUCGAUUCCUCCCGGAACGAAACAAGCCCUUAAGCUGACUCUGGCCGUCAGAGCGGGCCUCAGGCCUGUUUCUUUAAGAGUCACAAGCGAACGCCCACUGGGGACAUCCGCAGCAGCUUGGUGGAAGCUCUAACACUUUCAGCCCAGACACACCCGAGUCCCUCAAAUCCGGCUGAAGGAGAACACAGGAGGGAGUUUGGGCCCUGGGCCCUGCCCGGGAGGCGGGGUGUGCGGAGGCUUGUCUGCAGUCCGGGCUCCCCCGCGGCCGGAAGGACUCCGCUCACUGUUACCCAGUGAGACCCUGUAAGGAGGCCUGGGUGCUGCCUCUUCCUGCCCCGGCCCCUCAGCUACACCCGCAGCCCGCACACAGACGUUCGGCAAAGACACAGUCACCAGCUUAUUACUCGGCACAGCAGUUUCUAGUCGGAGAACAUCACAUGGAAGGAAGAGGAGUGGCUGCCGCGUGGGGAUGAACCCGAAGCACACUGCGCAGUGGAGGAAGGAGGAGGAAGGAGGAGGAAGCAUGUCCCGUGACUCUGAAGUUUGGAUGCAAGAUCACCGUGAACCCCCUAAAUGUUGAGAAAUGGUUGAACGGUGCGGAAAGAAGGCCAUGCCUUCCAAAGAACCCCUUCUCCGCCAGCCCCCCCACUACCAAGUCUUUCUUCCUCCUUCCUUCCUCCUUCGCAGCAAGGUUUUCAGGAGAGAGCUGACAUCUUUAAGGGAAGGAUAGGUGCAUUUUUUGGAUUAGCGAUGCUCUCUGCGGAGUACAGAUGAAGUCGCAUUGCCUCAUGGAGCUCAUGGCUACUAUCUUGGGAACCAACUGAAGCAGCUGGAGAAUUGAAGUCGUUGGCAUUCAUUGGACCGUCUCCAUUCCUUGCUGUAGACAGAAAGACACCGUUCUCAACGUGUUGAGUUUGUGAUCCUAGGGACCAAGCUUUGGCCUUUUACCACUAAGAUGAAAUGACUACAGACCCAUUGACUAAGGACCACAAAGGCUCACGUAAACAUAAGGAAAAGGGUGUGUAUCACUAAGGAUUAGGUUUAACUAAAAGGCAGACCUCCAUGGUAACACUGCUGACUUAAGACAGUGGUAUAUUUCUCUGUCUUGUGUAAAGGUCUGUAAGGUAAGUAAUCCAGGGAUGUUGUAGGAUCUCUAUUCCUCUAAGUCUCCAGGAACUCAAACUCCUUCUGGCUUGCUGCUUUACCAUCCCACUGGUGUGGUCCUUAUCCUCAUAGUCCAAGAAGGCAGCUAGAGCUCCAGCUCUCUCACCACAUUACAAGCAGUGGGAUGGAAAGAGUGACAGAGAUGAAGGGGAGCAUGAUGGUUGAGAUUAUGUGUCGACUUGACUGGCCGUGGGCUGCCCAGAUUAAACAUUAUUUCUAGGUGUGUCUGUAAGGGUAUUUCUGAAUGAGAUUGACAUUUGAAUCUGUGAACUCAGUAAAGUAAAUUGACCUCCCCAAAGUGGGUGGGCAUCAUCCAUUCUGCUGAGGGCCUGAAUAGAACAAAAGAUGGAGGAAGGAGGAGUUCGCUGGGACAUCUCCUCUCAUCUUCUGCCUCAGACUAGGACUGAUGCUAUUGGCUCCCCUGGUCCUCAGGCCUUUGGACUCAGACUGAAUUAUAUCACCGGCUUUCCUGCGUCUCCAGGAUCUGCAGACAGCAGAUUGUGGGGCUUCCUCGCCUCCAUAAUCGUGGGAGCCAAUUCCUCAUAAUAAAUCGCCUUUGAUGUCUAUGUAUCCUGUUGGUUCUGUUUCUCUGGAGAAUUCUAACUAAUACAGGAAGCAAAGGGCAUGUGUCAGGUGUCCUUUAAGAAAGGUUUCUAGAAGCUGUCAUGCUACAAUUCUGCUGCAGCCCAUUAGCUAUAACUUAGUCAUGUGGCCAUAGUUAAUUGCAGGAGGUGCUGAGAAAUACAGCCUUAAUUCUGGGCAACCAUGUGACCUAGUUAAAAACUGGGGAUUCUUUGAUUGUGGAAGAAAGGGCAACCAGAUAUUGGGGAGCAAUUAACAGUUUCUACCACAAAGUCCUCCAUAAUUCUAACUCUGCACUGUAUUGUGGCGGGGCUGGGGGGGCGUUGGGGUUUUUUUUCUUUGCUGGGGGAUUAGCCCUGAGCUAACAUCUGUUGCCAGUCUUCCUGUAAUUUAUAUGUGGGUUGCCACCACAGCAUGACUGAUGAGUGGUGUAGGUCCACACCCGGGAUCUGAACCUAUGAACCCGGGCCACCAAAGUGGAGCGCACCAACCUUAAUUACCACACCAUGGGGCCAGCCCAUGCAUUGUAUUGUUUUUAAUAUAAGAACUGCCACUUACUCCUAGAGAGCUCCAUUGCCUGUAGAAAUUUACUCAGCUACAUUAGGAGAAAAUAAAAGAGUCAACAAAAUAGUUUCUUGAAAUUUUUAUCUCCGUAUGUGUCUGUUGCCCAGCCUGUCUCAUGACAACCAGGGCAAUCUUCUCGAACAACUGCUAGCUCAAUGAAAGAGCUAUCAUAGGACUUUGAACUAUGGGCAAUAAAUGUUAAAUUUAGAUAUUGUGGCAUUACGAAUUUUUUGAUAAAGUGAUCAACUCAUUCUUCACCUUUAAUUCUCACUCACGUUCAUUUCUGAUGAAAUGGGCUGCAACCAAAUGUCCCUAAGUUAUUCUCGGGCUCUCUAAUAACGUUCCUGGUGAUGGCAUGAAACCCACUUUGGAGCAGAAUUGACUCCCCCACUAGUGAAACAUUUGCAUUCCUCCACUUCACCAGCUCUUGCAAAUAGGCCUCAAAGUGCAUUACCGAAUCUUCUGGUGGAAAAUCCCAAGUUUCACAAGGCAACUGGGGCUGAUGCUUUAAUUAAUCCCUUUCACCAAACUCGAGGACAUGCACGGGGGCUGCAGGAACCACCAAGUUCAAAGCUGGUUCACCAUCCGUUUGAAAAUACUGAGGCUUAAUAACAGUCUGACUCGUCCCACAGGUGUUAAAUGUCUGUGGUCAUGGCCCAUAGGGCUUGCUAAAGGCUCCUCCUCCACGCAUAUUUACAGUCCAGAUUCAGUUUGAGUAGGCCAUAACUCUAACGUUCCUCAUUGGUCUCUCGCCACUGCUCACCUCUAAGGGGACAGAGUUCCCACAGGAAGAGUCAGGUGACUUCACCUUCCUGGACUGUAACAGGGAUACUGGGGGCCAGCUUCUGUCCCUGCAGGUUCACUGCAGGCUU